CCUACGGGUGGCAGCAGUGGGGAAUAUUGGACAAUGGGCGAAAGCCUGAUCCAGCCAUGCCGCGUGUGUGAAGAAGGCCUUCGGGUUGUAAAGCACUUUCAGUGGGGAAGAAAGCCUUGGGGCUAAUACCCUCGAGGAAGGACAUCACCCACAGAAGAAGCACCGGCUAACUCCGUGCCAGCAGCCGCGGUAAUACGGAGGGUGCGAGCGUUAAUCGGAAUUACUGGGCGGAAAGCGCGCGUAGGCGGUCUGAUAAGCCGGUUGUGAAAGCCCCGGGCUCAACCUGGGAACGGCAUCCGGAACUGUCAGGCUAGAGUGCAGGAGAGGAAGGUAGAAUUCCCGGUGUAGCGGUGAAAUGCGUAGAGAUCGGGAGGAAUACCAGUGGCGAAGGCGGCCUUCUGGACUGACACUGACGCUGAGGUGCGAAAGCGUGGGUAGCAAACAGGAUUAGAUACCCGUGUAGUC
RNAcentral lists this ribosomal RNA (465 nucleotides) under Vreelandella stevensii. RNAcentral describes it as "partial 16S ribosomal RNA". It matches the Rfam family "Bacterial small subunit ribosomal RNA", at positions 338 to 795 of the family's 1533-position model. The record is from RNAcentral. Lineage: Bacteria; Pseudomonadati; Pseudomonadota; Gammaproteobacteria; Oceanospirillales; Halomonadaceae.